Molecule: ribosomal RNA, 496 nt
Filed under: uncultured bacterium
Lineage: Bacteria
Description: partial 16S ribosomal RNA
Rfam family: Bacterial small subunit ribosomal RNA
Source: RNAcentral
GAUGAACGCUGGCGGCGUGCCUAAUACAUGCCAGUCGAGCGAACAGACGAGGAGCUUGCUCCUCUGACGUUAGCGGCGGACGGGUGAGUAACACGUGGAUAACCUACCUAUAAGACUGGGAUAACUUCGGGAAACCGGAGCUAAUACCGGAUAAUAUAUUGAACCGCAUGGUUCAAUAGUGAAAGACGGUUUUGCUGUCACUUAUAGAUGGAUCCGCGCCGCAUUAGCUAGUUGGUAAGGUAACGGCUUACCAAGGCAACGAUGCGUAGCCGACCUGAGAGGGUGAUCGGCCACACUGGAACUGAGACACGGUCCAGACUCUUACGGGAGGCAGCAGUAGGGAAUCUUCCGCAAUGGGCGAAAGCCUGACGGAGCAACGCCGCGUGAGUGAUGAAGGUCUUCGGAUCGUAAAACUCUGUUAUUAGGGAAGAACAAAUGUGUAAGUAACUAUGCACGUCUUGACGGUACCUAAGCAGAAAGCCACGGCUAACUACGU